Molecule: long non-coding RNA, 221 nt
Filed under: Panax ginseng (ginseng)
Lineage: Eukaryota; Viridiplantae; Streptophyta; Magnoliopsida; Apiales; Araliaceae
Description: long non-coding RNA (PGIN_LNC017557)
Source: RNAcentral
CGUAUUCUUGUGAGUAUUUUUAUACUUUGAGUGUUGUUAUACGGUGCAAGUUCCUUCAGUACUAUAUCUAGUAUUCCAGUCAGAAGUACUGUCUUUUUGAGGGAAGGGAUGUUAUUUUUUUUAUAAAAAUGAUAUUAUUUCUUUCAAUAUCAUUAUGUCGGAAUAUUGGUAAGAUUUUUCUUGUGAAAUUCUUGUCUUUUAGUGUCGAGGUUACCAUUCAC